This 525-nucleotide ribosomal RNA is filed under the name uncultured bacterium. Its description in RNAcentral is "bacterial SSU rRNA". It matches the Rfam family "Bacterial small subunit ribosomal RNA", at positions 355 to 896 of the family's 1533-position model. The record is from RNAcentral.
UGGGGAAUAUUGGACAAUGGACCGAGAGUCUGAUCCAGCAAUUCUGUGUGCACGAUGAAGUUUUUCGGAAUGUAAAGUGCUUUCAGUUGGGAAGAAAAAAAUGACGGUACCAACAGAAGAAGUGACGGCUAAAUACGUGCCAGCAGCCGCGGUAAUACGUAUGUCACGAGCGUUAUCCGGAUUUAUUUGGGCGUAAAGCGCGUCUAGGUGGUUAUGUAAGUCUGAUGUGAAAAUGCAGGGCUCAACUCUGUAUUGCGUUGGAAACUGUAUAACUAGAGUACUGGAGAGGUAAGCGGAACUACAAGUGUAGAGGUGAAAUUCGUAGAUAUUUGUAGGAAUGCCGAUGGGGAAGCCAGCUUACUGGACAGAUACUGACGCUAAAGCGCGAAAGCGUGGGUAGCAAACAGGAUUAGAUACCCUGGUAGUCCACGCUGUAAACGAUGAUUACUAGGUGUUGGGGGUCGAACCUCAGCGCCCAAGCAAACGCGAUAAGUAAUCCGCCUGGGGAGUACGUACGCAAGUAUG